This 254-nucleotide ribosomal RNA is filed under the name uncultured prokaryote. RNAcentral's name for it is "partial 16S ribosomal RNA". It matches the Rfam family "Bacterial small subunit ribosomal RNA", at positions 524 to 777 of the family's 1533-position model. The record is from RNAcentral.
UACGGAGGAUGCAAGCGUUAUCCGGAUUCAUUGGGUUUAAAGGGUGCGUAGGCGGGCUAUUAAGUCAGUGGUGAAAUCCUGCAGCUUAACUGCAGAACUGCCGUUGAUACUGAUAGUCUUGAGUUUGGUUAAGGUAGGCGGAAUGUGUAAUGUAGCGGUGAAAUGCUUAGAUAUUACACAGAACACCAAUUGCGUAGGCAGCUUACUGAGCCGACACUGACGCUGAGGCACGAAAGUGUGGGGAGCAAACAGGA